Molecule: ribosomal RNA, 418 nt
Filed under: uncultured bacterium
Lineage: Bacteria
Description: bacterial SSU rRNA
Rfam family: Bacterial small subunit ribosomal RNA
Source: RNAcentral
ACGCUGGCGGCACGCCUAACACAUGCAAGUCGAACGAAGUAGCAAUACUUAGUGGCAGACGGGUGAGUAACAUGUAGGUAUCUGCCCUUUGGCCUGGAAUAACACGAGGAAACUUGUGCUAAUACCGGAUAAGUCUUUACGGAGAAAGCUUUAUGCACCAUUGGAUGAGCCUGCACUUGAUUAGUUUGUUGGUGGGGUAAUGGCCUACCAAGACUGUGAUCAAUAGCUGAUUUGAGAGGAUGAUCAGCCACAUUGGGACUGAGACACGGCCCAAACUCCUACGGGAGGCAGCAGUGGGGAAUCUUGCACAAUGGAGGAAACUCUGAUGCAGCGAUGCCGCGUGAGUGAAGAAGGCCCUUGGGUUGUAAAGCUCUUUCGUCGGGGAAGAAAAUGACUGUACCCGAAUAAGAAGGUCCGG